RNAcentral lists this ribosomal RNA (253 nucleotides) under uncultured bacterium. RNAcentral's name for it is "partial 16S ribosomal RNA". It matches the Rfam family "Bacterial small subunit ribosomal RNA", at positions 524 to 776 of the family's 1533-position model. The record is from RNAcentral.
UACGUAGGGUGCAAGCGUUAAUCGGAAUUACUGGGCGUAAAGGGCGCGUAGGCGGCAAUUCAAGUCAGCUGUGAAAUCUCCGGGCUUAACUCGGAACGGUCAGCUGAUACUGCUUUGCUAGAGUGCAGAAGGGGCAAUCGGAAUUCUUGGUGUAGCGGUGAAAUGCGUAGAUAUCGGAAGGAACACCAGUGGCGAAAGCGGCUUCCUGGUCCAGCACCGACGUUCAGGCACGAAAGCGUGGGGAGCAAACAGG